Molecule: ribosomal RNA, 349 nt
Filed under: uncultured bacterium
Lineage: Bacteria
Description: bacterial SSU rRNA
Rfam family: Bacterial small subunit ribosomal RNA
Source: RNAcentral
GGGCCCGCACAAGCGGUGGAGCAUGUGGUUUAAUUCGAUGCAACGCGAAGAACCUUACCAGGGUUUGACAUCCUGCGAAUCUCUUGGAAACGAGAGAGUGCCUUCGGGAACGCAGUGACAGGUGGUGCAUGGCUGUCGUCAGCUCGUGUCGUGAGAUGUUGGGUUAAGUCCCGCAACGAGCGCAACCCACGUCUUUAGUUGCCAGCAUUUAGUUGGGCACUCUAGAGAGACUGCUGGUGAUAAACCGGAGGAAGGUGUGGAUGACGUCAAGUCAUCAUGCCCCUUACAUCCUGGGCUACACACGUACUACAAUGCUACGGACAAAGGGCUGCAAGUUCGCGAGGACAAG